Molecule: ribosomal RNA, 528 nt
Filed under: Bombus bifarius
Lineage: Eukaryota; Metazoa; Arthropoda; Insecta; Hymenoptera; Apidae
Description: partial 16S ribosomal RNA
Rfam family: Bacterial large subunit ribosomal RNA (bases 376-528)
Source: RNAcentral
GGCUUAUUGAUUUUAAUUUUAAGUCUAUCUGCCCAAUGAUUUAAUAAUUUAAUGGCUGCAGUAUAAUUGACUGUACAAAGGUAGCAUAAUCAAUUGUUUUUUAAUUAAAAACUGGAAUGAAAGAAUUAAUGAGAUAUAUACUGUCUCAUAUAUAUAUAAUAAAUUUAAAUUUUUAGUAAAAAUGCUAAAAUUUUUUUAUGGGACGAUAAGACCCUAUAGAAUUUUAUAUUUGUAUUUAGAUUAUAUAUAUUUUUAAAUGUAAAUAUUUAAUUGGGAGGAUUGUUAAAUUUAUAGAACUUUAUUUUAAAUAUAAACUUUAAUUUAAGAAUAAUUAAUGAUCUUGUAUUAUAAAUUAAAAGAAUAAAUUACCUUAGGGAUAACAGCGUAAUAUCUUUUUAAAGAUCAUAUUAAUAAAGAUGAUUGCGACCUCGAUGUUGAAUUAAGAUAAAUUUUAAAUGCAGAAGUUUAAUAAUUAAGUCUGUUCGACUUUUAAAAUCUUACAUGAUUUGAGUUCAAAUCGACGUGAGU